Molecule: ribosomal RNA, 273 nt
Filed under: uncultured prokaryote
Description: partial 16S ribosomal RNA
Rfam family: Bacterial small subunit ribosomal RNA
Source: RNAcentral
UACGAAGGGGGCUAGCGUUGUUCGGAAUUACUGGGCGUAAAGCGCACGUAGGCGGACUCUUAAGUCAGGGGUGAAAUCCCGGGGCUCAACCUCGGAACUGCCUUUGAUACUGUGAGUCUCGAGACCGGAAGAGGUGAGUGGAAUUCCUAGUGUAGAGGUGAAAUUCGUAGAUAUUAGGAAGAACACCAGUGGCGAAGGCGGCUCACUGGUCCGGUUCUGACGCUGAGGUGCGAAAGCGUGGGGAGCAAACAGGAUUAGAAACCCGAGUAGUCC